Molecule: ribosomal RNA, 1500 nt
Filed under: Triticum aestivum (bread wheat)
Lineage: Eukaryota; Viridiplantae; Streptophyta; Magnoliopsida; Poales; Poaceae
Description: partial small subunit ribosomal RNA
Source: RNAcentral
AUGGAGCUCGCCAUAUCUGCAGUAGCAGGUGAAUUUGUGAGCCGAUUCGUCUCCUACCUCGCCGACAAGUACCGCUCGAGCCGCUGCACACAGUCGGGAGAGAAGCAGCUGAAGAGGCUGCAGCAGCUGCUCCUGAGAGCCCGCACGGUUGUCGAGGAGGCGGACGGGCGGUACAUCACCAACUCUGGGAUGCUGGCGCAGCUCACCAUGCUCGCGGACGGCAUGUACCGAGGCUACUGGGCGCUAGGGGCCUUUGGGUACAUGUCCCUUGAAGAGACAGAGACUAGUCCCAUGGAGGUUAGCAGCUCAUCUCCCCGCAAACGUCUUUGCACGGUUCAUGGCAGUGCUAGGAAGAACAAGGCCAUGUACUUUGCCGACCUGCAAAGUGUGGUUGAGAGCUUGGAGGACGUCGUCGCUGGCUUGACGGAGUUUGUGGUUCUUUUGGGUGGAUGCGACUGUAUGCUGCGUCGACCAUACGAUGCAUAUCUUUACAAUGACACCAUCAUGUUCGGACGCCACACCGAGAAGCAAAAGCUCCUGAACUUCAUGCUGCAGCACAGUUCAAGCUCGCCUGGUGGUACGCCGGCUGUUCUCCCGAUCAUCGGUGGUCCUGCGGUCGGGAAGAGGACUCUAGUGGCCCAUGUAUGCAAGGACGAGAGGAUCAGCUCAUACUUCUCUUCGAUUCUGCACUUGAAUGGAGACUCCUUCUGCCGAAUCGCAGACCGUGAUCGGAGCUUCUUGCGAGGGAAGAUACUGGUCGUUGUUGAGCUUGUCGCAGACGUCGACGAGAAGGAUUGGGCCGAGUUCUGCUCAACAUUGGCAAGCAUGGACAGUGGAAGCAAAGUGAUCAUCAUCAGCCGGCUUAGAAGUACAGAGCGAUUCGGGACAGUGCGGCCGAUCUUCCUCGACACCCUGUCAUACGAGGAGUUCAGCUACCUCUUCAAGACACUCGCAUUCGGGAGCGCAAACCCGGCGCAUCACCCGCAGCUGGCACGGAUUGCAGACGAAUUGGCCGAGGAGUUCCGGACGGAAUGUUCGCUCGUCGGCACAAACAUAUUUGCGGAUGUGAUGAGGAGGAAUCUGAACGUCCAUUUCUGGUUCGGCAUGCUGAGCAGGCUGAGGAGAUUUGCUGAGAGGAACGUCUCCAUGUUUGGGGAACACCCGAGGUUGCUCGUCGAGAGACGCCAUCAGAUAGACGUUACGGACUUCGUCUUGCAUCCGGCUGCUUCUCCGCUCCGCAUCGUGCCUUCCUGCACCAGUGGCAGCAGCCGCACUGAGGUUACAGCGGAGAGGGCAUCGCUGCCAAGGGUGAGGCUUGGAGAUCUUGUGAUGGAUCCUGGAGUCCGACCGCAAGGGGAUUUCAAUGUGGUUUCCUGGGAAUCAAGGUUGCCUCCUUUCACCUCAUUUGUUCAUUUCGUUCCAAAUAGAAAUGGUGCUCCAGGUUUGGCAAAACAGAGUCCUCCCCUGUCUGGGAGGAAGCGUCCAGCAGUUGCUUUGUAA